This is a long non-coding RNA of Gossypium arboreum, 786 nucleotides long. RefSeq lists it as uncharacterized. The transcript has 2 exons. The record is from RefSeq and is a predicted model, not a curated record. Lineage: Eukaryota; Viridiplantae; Streptophyta; Magnoliopsida; Malvales; Malvaceae.
AAACGAAUAGAGGGAAAAGGAAAACUGGACAAAGGAGCCAACUCUGACGCUGUUAGCUCAGUUAAAGACUUUACAAAUAACCCCAACUCAGUACUCAUAAAACUCAGUUAGUUGCUUUAAUAGAUGAAUAAAAGAGAAACAAAUUGUGAAGAGAAUGAUGAAGAACAAUGGAUGGAGAAUUGGGAUAGGAGAAUUGUUAUGUAGUGUAUUCUAUCUAUGUCUACCAUGUGUACUGCACUAAACGACAUAUUGGUGAUGUGCCUGGGAAGUUUCUCAAAGGCAAGAAGAGAAAUGCUAAUUAUAUGUUGGAGAGAUAGCUUAAGAAAAUUAGCGAUGCAAUUAGAGAUGUUGCCGAGUCGAUCCGCUAGGGAAAUGCUGUUAUGGAGAGAGUGCAGGCACAUGUUUAUUCGUGAAGGGAAAUUCUCGAUGAAUUGGUGAACUUAGGAGUUGAGAAACACUUACUCUUUAGUGUUUAUAGCUUCCUUGUUGAAGAUCCCUCGAGGGUAAGAGCGUUCUCCGGUUUCCCGGUGGAGGAACAUAAGGAUUUUCUAAUACAGAUGAUAUAUGGUCCUGAGGAUUUUUGAAGGGUUUUCUUUAGUUACUGGUUUGAGAUAUUGAUCGAGGGACUUUCGACGUCUCUCCUCCUGUGCUUGUACAGUAUUUAGAUGAAUAAAUAUCCUUUCUUCCAUUGGAUUCAUUCAAAUGAUUUCAUGUUUAAUUAAAAUUCUGUAAGUUACCAUUUAUGUUGUGCUUUGUGUAGAUAAUACUGCUCAUGUUUAAGACUUA